RNAcentral lists this long non-coding RNA (7596 nucleotides) under Salvia miltiorrhiza (redroot sage). Its description in RNAcentral is "long non-coding RNA (SMIL_LNC008271)". The record is from RNAcentral. Lineage: Eukaryota; Viridiplantae; Streptophyta; Magnoliopsida; Lamiales; Lamiaceae.
UUUUUUAGUUGUGGGAUAGAGGAAUUGAGAUGCUUAGUCUGAUUUUUCAAUCUUGUAAAGGUACAAAUACCAUAAUACUACAAAAUUUGCUUACAAUCUAUACUCCUUUAUUAAAAAAAGAAAAAGAAAAUAAAAGACUUGAAAACAAAAUGACGCUUACAAGGGUAGAGCCUCGUUAAAAUCUCUUCGGAGAAAAUUCAAUGGGAAACUUCGUAAGAUAAAUUAAUAGAGUACUCGUCUAUUACAACGAAAUAGAGAAAAUGACACCCACGAUACGAACGACGAAGAACCUCAAGCAAGUCUAAAACAACACUUAGAACACACCAAUAGGACCUGACAUUCUAGGACCCAAACCCCAGCGCACUGAAAGUUUGUACAAAAGUCUCCAAAGCCAUCCCAACCCAACCUUCGAAGCUGAAAAAACGACGCAGCCGACAAGCUCCAAAACCGAAAAGUAAACCCAACACCACGAAAAAAGUGAAGAAAACCAAGCCCAAGAAAAUAUUCACCCGAAAACAAGCAAAAUAGCAUAGAACAAAACCGAGGCCAUGUCAUAGAAGGAUAGAGAAGCGCACCACCUAUUUGUAAAAAAACCGACACGAGAAAAGCAUUCUCUAGUCGAAGGAUUACCAGAGAUCACAUUCUUCAAAGACCAAGUGUGGAAGCGUGUCAACAAGGAAAGCAGAUUCGUGUCUCCUUUAAGAGCAAGAUAAAUCACACAACACAAGGACCGCUUCACCUACUACACAUAGAUUUAUUUGAGCUAGUCUCUCCACUCAGCAUUAACGGGGUGGAAAGAAAAUAAAUUGGGGAAGGGGCUGGGCGGGCCGUGCCUAGUGCGGCCUUUCUUCCUUCUCUUCUAGUAUGUGUAUAGACGCGGAUUUGAUCCAACCGCAUAAUUAUCCAUGAUGUGAAAGUUGGUCAUAAUUAAAUAUAAAGUUGCAAAAUAUAUAUAUAUACAAUACAUAUAUAUUACUAAAAUUUUCGCACUUCAUUAUUACUUAAGUAAAAGUUACAAAUUUGAAACUUUUCUUAAUAUAAUAAAUUUAUAAUACAUACAAUAUUCCUCGGGCAUUGCACGAGAAGCAUUUACUAUUUGGUUAAACAUAUUGGACUUGGAAUUUUCCACUUUGACUGGACGAAAUUGUAAUUAAUAUGAUCUUCCUAAAUAAAAUACUCCCUCCGUCCCUGAAAUGGCUUCCUCUUUGGGGACGGCACGAGUUUUAAGGAAAAAUUGUAAAGUGUAUUGAUAGUGGAGAAAAAGUGUUAUAAUUAUUAUUGAAAGUUGUGAAAAUGUGUUAUAAUUAGUAUUGAGAGUGGUGAAAAGUGAAAAGUAAGAAUAAAUAAAGUAUUAUAGUAGUGGGUAGUUGUCCAAAAAUGAACAGAAAGAAAGAAGAAGUUAUUUGGGGGACGUCCCAAAAAGGAAAAAGAGGAAGUUAUUUCAGGGACGGAGGGAGUAGUACUCCAUCCACGAAAUAUUUUCCUAAAGGAGAGAUGCACGAAUUUUAAGAAAAAUUGUGUUUAUUUAUUGAGUGUAGAAAGGGGCCCACAAAUAAUAAAAAAGUGAAAAAGCUAAUUAAGUUAGUGAGUGGAGAAUGUGGCUCACAUGUUAGUGAGUGGAGAAAGCGACUCACAAAUUAUUACUAAAAAUAGAUUAAGACAAUUUUUUGUGGACGAACCAAAAUGAUAAAUUAAGACAACAUUACGUGGAUGAAGGGAGGAAUAUAUUUUUCUCUUAAAAAAUUAUUACUAUACAAAAUUUAAUGAGUGGAUUUUUAAAAUGGCCACUUUCAUAUUGUAAAGAUAAAAAAUGUCCACUAAGAUAAAAAACUUAAAAAAUGUCCACUGUUACCAAAAUACCCUUCACAUUAAAAUUAAAAAAUGUCCACUUUACAUCACCCCUUUAAAAAAUCCCGCAAUUCACAACCCGUGUGAAUUCACAACCAAAAUUUUUUGGUUGUGAAUUUACACUAGUUGUGAAUUGAGAAUUCACAACCAGUCGAAUUCACAACCAGAAUUUUUUAUUUGUGAAUUCACAACUAGUCGAAUUCACAGCCAAAAUUUAAUUCACAAUCAGUCGAAUUCACAACCAAAAUUUAAUUCACAACUAGAAUUUUUUGGUUGUGAAUUCACACCAAACGAAUUCACAACCAAAAUUUAAUUCACAACCAUAUUUAUGUUGGUUGUGAAUUCACAAUCAAUCGAAUUCACAACUAGAAUUUAUUUUGGUUGUGAAUUCAAGUAGUUGUGAAUUUGAGUUUUUAAAGUUUGAAUUCACAAUUAAAACUGUAAUUUAUUUUGAUUGUGAAUUCGAGUUUUAGUUGUGAAUUAAUAGAUCUGGUUGUGAAUUCAAGAAUAUUAAGUUGUGAAUUCAUAGAUGUGGUCGUGAAUUCAAAAACAUUAAGCUUCUGUGAAUUCAUAAAUUUGGUUGUGAAUUUAAGAACAUUAAAAAAAUAAUUAUGCAGCUCAAUCAACAAUCAAAAUACAACAAAAUAUUAUUCGAAUCAAUUCAAUCUACAAUUAAAAUACAACAAUUCCUUUGAAUCAACAAUCUCAACAUUCAAUCUCGGAAUCAACAAUCUCAACAGAUCUUAGAACGAAAAUCAUUCACAGACGUAUCAGAUCUAAACUUUUUUUCAAGGAAGUAAAACAAAAAUCCCCAAAAUUACUCAGAUAUGGAAUUAGGGUUUUUUUUGAUUGGGAAAACGCGCCGCCUCUGAGCGCGCUGCACUGCGCCUUUCCUUUCGCCGCCGAGACCACUUCCCGGCGGCCUCUUCCAGACGCCAAACACUGUCCUCAAUAACACCGCCUCCGUUCUGUACCGUGAAAGAGGAGGAGGAGAAGAAGAAGCCGAAGGAGCGCCGCCCCUACUUGACGUCGGAGAUGGCGGAGGCGACAAGACCGGGGCAGAGACGACGAGGCCUGGGCGGCGGCGCUUCGCGGCGGGGGUGAAGCAGAAGAUGGCAGAGGCGACAAGGUCGGGGGCGGCGGCGCUUCGCGGCAGGGGGCGAAGCAGGAGAUGGUGGAGGCGACGAGGCCGAGGCGGCGACGCUUCGGAUUUCAAGCCCCAAGCCGCCUGUAACCCUAGAUCUACCACGCCUGGAAGUCUAGAACCAUAGAUCUGCAACAUCCCCCCACAACCACUGCCGGAUUUGAACCAGCAACCUAAGGAUUAAAGCGGCGGCGGAGAUGAAGGCGGUGGAGAUAGACGGCGGCGGCGAUGGAGAUGAAGAUAGUCUGGAACCCUAGAUCUACCACUCCACGCCGCAGGCGAUGAGGCAGGGGCGGCGGUGGACGACGUAGAGGAGGUGCGGGGUACGGGCCUCACGGAGGAGGAAGGUGGUGGCACGGACGGCGGUGGAGGAGGAGGUGAGGAGCUCCGGGCACAUGGGGGAAGAUGCGGCGGAAGGUCGGCGACGGUGAUGCGUGGAGAAAGAGAGAGAAGAGAAAUGAGAGAGGAGAAAGAUGCGUGGAGGGAGAGAGAAGAGAAUGAGAGAGAGAAAGAGAGAGUACAUGUAUUUAAGAGAGGGUAUUUCUGUCUUUUCAACUACAAAGUGGAUAGUUUUUAUCAUUUUUAUCUUAGUGGACAUUUUUUAUCUUUACAAUAUGAAAGUGGCCAGUUUUAUAUAUUUGCUCAUUAAAAAUAUUUAGUUAUUAUUCCCACUAAAAAUUACAAAAACAGAGAUAAAACGGAAUCAAGAUUGAUUCAAAGGUUUUAUUUAUUUUAUUUUUGUAACUUAUAUUUUAAUAUAACAUAAAAGGUAAAUGUCUUUUAAUUUGUUUUUUUCCAUAUGCAUGUAUAGAUUGCAGAGAGAAUGAAAUGCAACUGAACUGUAUUUUUUCUAUUGUAUAUUAUUAUAAAAGAAUGACUCUUCCUAUGUAUCUUUCAAGCUUCUUCCAUCUUCAAAAUAUAUAGCUUAUUUAUGACAAAUGCAACCGUGAAAAUAGUUUUUUUUGGAUCAUAAAAACUGUAAAAAAGCGGCUUCGAAAUUAAAUAGGAGAUUGUUGGAUGUGUGAUUGUUUGAUUACUUAUAUUGAGAAGAAAAUUUUUGAAACAAUUAACAAUGAAUUAAUAUUACAUCUUUAAGAAUAUGAGUAAUUGUAAAAACAUAUUGUAAGGAUAUUUCAUUAUAUAUUUUUCUUAAAAAAAUAUUAUUAUUUGUCUACAUAUUUUCUCCGCCACUGUCUAUUGUGAAUAAGUCCACUUUGAAUGCUAAAUAGAAAACCAUCGUUUUUAACAAGGAGUUGAGGACACUUCAUCGUUUGGAUUCUUUGACAUCAUAAAAUAUCUAUUAGAAUAAAGUCAAAAUUUGAGGUAUUUUUAGUUUUCCUAAAACCAUGAAAAUUUGCAUCUCACUUGACAAAUACAGCCAAAUAAUUCGAUAGGUCGUCCUCUAAAAAAAAAUAUAUAUAUAUAUAAAAANACACUAUCGGCGUACUGUUGAAGAAGGACGCCUUCAAAUCAAAGACCAUGGCCAACAUGAUCUCGAUCUCGAUUGGGGUCACGAUCACUGCCUACGGCGAGGCGAAGUUCGAUUCGUUGGGGGUGAUUCUACAAUUGGGGGCGGUGACGUUCGAGGGAGAAUUCGAGAUGUGAUUUUUUUUAAUGAACGGUGUGCAUAUUAGCCCCCGAACUACCAAAAGGGAAAAUGUGCAGAUUAGCCCCUGAACUACCAAAAAACGGUGCAGAUCGCCCCCUCUGACUAACGGCCCAUAACGGUGUUAAGUCAGAGGGGGUGAUCUGCACCAUUUUUUUGAGUUCGAGGGCCAAUCUGCACACACAGUUAGUAAGAGGACUGAAAUGCUCUAAGGGCCUUCACUUGAGGGGCAUAUCUGCACCUUAACCCUUUAUAAAAUGAGCAUAUGGUGUUCAGUUGAUUGGGACUGUGUUUUACAUAUAUGAAUAGUAUACUUUUACUUAGAAAAUGAUAUUUUAAAUGAAAAUUUUAAUAUAAAAAGUAAAAUAAAAUCAAAUUUAUAAAAAUUGGCGUUGAAUUUGAAGGUCGGUCUGAAGAGCAUGCGCUGAAAGGUGGAGCGAAUGGUGCACUCAUUCUACUGGGAGCAUACCAAAGUUUGUGUUAAUUUUUAAUUAUGAAUAACUAAAUUUUACUCCCCCGUCCACCAAAACAAAAGUAUGACAUUUUUGGUGGCAUAAGUUCGAAAAAAAUUAUUGAUGAUUUUUAUAUAGUGGAGAAAGGGUCCUAUCAAAAUUUGAAAUGAGUGGUUGAAACUGAAUUGAGAACGAUUUUUUUGUAAAUAAGAGGUGUUUGUAAGUAUAAAAGAUAAGGAAAAGUGGAGUGAUAUCUUAAAAUGGAAAGUGCCAUAGUUUUUGUGGACACCCAAAAUGGCAAAAGUGUCAUACUUUUCAUAGACGGAGGGAGUAAUUAAUUUUAAUAAUUCCAUGCUAAUUAUUAAAAAAAAAAGUUUUAAUACAAACCCUAAAUAAUCCAUAAUCAACUCUUAUUUUUUAGUUGUGGGAUAGAGGAAUUGAGAUGCUUAGUCUGAUUUUUCAAUCUUGUAAAGGUACAAAUACCAUAAUACUACAAAAUUUGCUUACAAUCUAUACUCCUUUACUAAAAAAAGAAAAAGAAAAUAAAAGACAAAAUCUAUAAACACAUGAAAACAAAAUGACGCUUACAAGGGUAGAGCCUCGUUAAAAUCUCUUCGGAGAAAAUUCAAUGGGAAACUUCGUAAGAUAAAUUAAUAGAGUACUUGUAGAGGAUAAAAUCCGACUGACCAGAGGUCAACGAAAUCCUCGCCAGAGGAAUCAGCGAAUUCUCUGCUUGGGACGACUUCCCUGCUCGCCACGAAUUCUCUGCUCGGGGCGACUUCCCUGCUCGCCGCGACUCUCUGCUCAGGGCGACUUCCCUGCUCGCCGCGACUCUCUGCUUGGGACGACUUCCCUGCUCGCCGUGAAUUCUCUGCUCGGGGCGACUUCCCUGCUCGCCGCGAUUCCUCUGCUCGGGGUGACUUCCCUGCUCGCCGCGAUUCCUCUGCUCGGGGCGACUUCCCUGCUCGCCGCGAUUCCUCUGGCGCCUCGCCAGAGGAAUCAGCAAAGUCCUCGCCAGAGGAAUCAGCGAAACCCUCGCCAGAGGAAUCAGCGAAGUCCUCGCCAAAGGAGUCAGCGAUCCCUCUGCUCUGGCAGCGGAAUGAUUUCUCUGCUCUGGCAGAGGCGCGAUCCCUCCGCUCUGGCAGUGGCAUGAUUUCUCUGCUCUGGCAGCGGAAUGAUUCCUCUGCUCUGGCGGAGGAGCGAUCCCUCUGCUCUGACAGCAGCACCAUAGUAAACAUCUCGACACGAAAGCAUACAAACUGGAUUACAAGCUUACGAAAACCUAGUCAAACAUGGGUGACUAGGUCAAACGAAAGUCGCGGAAGAUCGUUUCCUAAAAAAUCGGAACCGCUAGGGUUUCAAAGAACAUUCCAACAAACCCUAACCCUAGUCGCCUCCUCGCAGGCCCAUAACCUAUAUAUACUACUUCAUUAACACAAUGAAGGGGACGCCGUCACUGACAUUCAUUCUUAUACUUACGAUCUUUCAAGCUGGUGCUAGCCCAUUCUCCAGUUCCGCCUCCACGCUCUCGACGUUCAAGGGUUUCGAUUGUUGGACUAGCCCCGCUGGCCCGGACAUUCGUCGCCCCUUGUUCCACAUCGCUCCGCAGCCUUAAAUCAACUUCCGGGAUACCCCGGUCUCCCGGAAACUUCAUUUACUAUCGUCUUUUCCUUUUUCAUUUAUUCAUUUCAGUUACGCUAUUUACGUUGAAUAUAUAUAUCCGUUCACUGACUUGAGCGUCGGAGGCCCUUCCAUCGACACCCCCACCGGUGCUCUUCGGAGGGCUCUAACGUUAUUUGUGGUCUCAGGUUGCUAGUGCCCGUCGAUCCAGACGUGACCGACGUCGCUUCCGUAAUUGUCGGAUUCACCCCCCACAGUACUCGUCUAUUACAAUGAAAUAGAGAAAAUGACACCCACAAUACGAACGACGAAGAACCUCAAGCAAGUCUAAAACAACACUUAGAACACACCAAUAGGACCUGACAUUCUAGGACUCAAACCCCAGCGCACUGAAAGUUUGUACAAAAGUCUCCAAAGCCAUCCCAACCCAACCUUCGAAGCUGAAAAAACGACGUAGCCGACAAGCUCCAAAACCGAAAAGUAAACCCAACACCACGAAAAAAGCGAAGAAAACCAAGCCCAAGAAAAUAUUCACCCGAAAACAAGCAAAAUACCAUAGAACAAAACCGAGGCCAUGUCAUAGAAGGAUAGAGAAGCGCACCACCUAUUUGUAAAAAAACCGACACAAGAAAAGCAAUCUUGCAAAGCAUUCUCUAGUCGAAGGAUUACCAGAGAUCACAUUCUUCAAAGACCAAGUGUGGAAGCGUGUCAACAAGGAAAGCAGAUUCGUGUCUCCUUUAAGAGCAAGAUAAAUCACACAACGCAAGGACCGCUUCAACUACUACACAUAGAUUUAUUUGAGCUAGUCUCUCCACUCAGCAUUAACGGGGUGGAAAGAAAAUAAAUUGGGGAAGGGGCUGGGCGGGCCGUGCCUAGUGCGGCCUUUCUUCCUUCUCUUCUAGUAUGUGUAUAGACGCGGAUUUGAU